UACGGGGGGAGCAAACGUUGUCCGGAUUUAUUGGGCGUAAAGAGCGUGUAGGCGGCCAUACAGGUCCGUUGUGAAAACUCGAGGCUUAACCUCGAGACGUCGAUGGAAACCGUAUGGCUAGAGUCCGGAAGAGGAGAGUGGAAUUCCUGGUGUAGCGGUGAAAUGCGCAGAUAUCAGGAAGAACACCCGUGGCGAAGGCGGCUCUCUGGGACGGUACUGACGCUGAGACGCGAAAGCGUGGGGAGCGAACAGG
RNAcentral lists this ribosomal RNA (253 nucleotides) under uncultured bacterium. RNAcentral's name for it is "partial 16S ribosomal RNA". It matches the Rfam family "Bacterial small subunit ribosomal RNA", at positions 524 to 776 of the family's 1533-position model. The record is from RNAcentral.